UGGGGAAUAUUGGACAAUGGGCGCAAGCCUGAUCCAGCAAUGCCGCGUGGGUGAAGAAGGCCUUCGGGUUGUAAAGCCCUUUUGUACGGGAAGAAAGCUUUCGGGUUAAUACCCUGGGAGGAUGACGGUACCGUAAGAAUAAGCACCGGCUAACUUCGUGCCAGCAGCCGCGGUAAUACGAAGGGUGCAAGCGUUAAUCGGAAUUACUGGGCGUAAAGCAUGCGUAGGUGGUUGUUUAAGUCUGUCGUGAAAGCCCUGGGCUCAACCUGGGAAUGGCGAUGGAUACUGGGCGACUAGAGUGCGGUAGAGGAUGGCGGAAUUCCCGGUGUAGCGGUGAAAUGCGUAGAGAUCGGGAGGAACAUUCGUGGCGAAGGCGGCCAUCUGGACCAGCACUGACACUGAGGUACGAAAGCGUGGGGAGCAAACAGGAUUAGAUACCCUGGUAGUCCACGCCCUAAACGAUGCGAACUGGAUGUUGGGCUCAACUUGGAGCUCAGUGUCGAAGCUAACGCGUUAAGUUCGCCGCCUGGGGAGUACGGUCGCAAGACUGAAACUCAAAGGAAUUGACGGGGGCCCGCACAAGCGGUGGAGUAUGUGGUUUAAUUCGAUGCAACGCGAAGAACCUUACCUGGCCUUGACAUGUCCGGAAUCGAGCAGAGAUGCUUGAGUGCCUUCGGGAAUCGGAACACAGGUGCUGCAUGGCUGUCGUCAGCUCGUGUCGUGAGAUGUUGGGUUAAGUCCCGCAACGAGCGCAACCCUUGUCCUUAGUUGCCAGCACGUAAUGGUGGGAACUCUAAGGAGACUGCCGGUGACAAACCGGAGGAAGGUGGGGAUGACGUCAAGUCAUCAUGGCCCUUACGGCCAGGGCUACACACGUACUACAAUGGGAAGGACAGAGGGCAGCGAGACCGCGAGGUGGAGCCAAUCCCAGAAACCUUCUCUCAGUCCGGAUCGCAGUCUGCAACUCGACUGCGUGAAGUCGGAAUCGCUAGUAAUCGCAGAUCAGCAUUGCUGCGGUGAAUACGUUCCCGGGCCUUGUACACACCGCCCGUCACACCAUGGGAGUGGGUUGCUCCAGAAGCCGUUAGCCUAACCGCAAGGGGGGCGACGACCACGGAGUGGCUCAUGACUGGGGUGAAGUCGUAACAAGGUAGCCGUACCGGAAGG
RNAcentral lists this ribosomal RNA (1167 nucleotides) under uncultured Pseudomonadota bacterium. RNAcentral describes it as "bacterial SSU rRNA". It matches the Rfam family "Bacterial small subunit ribosomal RNA", at positions 355 to 1512 of the family's 1533-position model. Lineage: Bacteria; Pseudomonadati; Pseudomonadota. The record is from RNAcentral.